Molecule: ribosomal RNA, 1263 nt
Filed under: Triticum aestivum (bread wheat)
Lineage: Eukaryota; Viridiplantae; Streptophyta; Magnoliopsida; Poales; Poaceae
Description: partial small subunit ribosomal RNA
Source: RNAcentral
AUGGCUGCUCAUCCUGUUGAAUCAGAAGCAAGCAUUGAAACAGAUAAUCACCCUUUACUGAUAGACCACAUGGAAACUACUGCUCAUCUCGAGAUUGCAAUUGACAGCCCAAGGGAUGAUGUUGCUUCAUCGUCAACCGCUCGUCGGGAGGAUAAUGAUGGCUUGGAUCGAUUGCCUCAUAUCUCAGAAGGUUCUUCGGAGACAACUACUGCAUCUAACUCUCAAAGUGCUCCUCUAGCAGGAAGAGAUGCUAAUCGUGCUCGUCGUCGGCAAAGUCCGUUGAAUUCUAGUUGCUGGAUCUCCAUUGAGCUUGUUGUAACAGUUAGCCAGAUUAUAGCGGCCAUUUGUGUUCUGUCAUUGUCAAGGAAGGAACAUCCACAUUCUCCAUUGUUUGAGUGGGUCAUUGGUUAUACGGUAGGUUGUGUUGCCACUCUUCCUCUUCUCUACUGGCGCUAUCUCCAUCGCAACCGCCCAACAACUGGGCAAGAACCAGCAAGUCAGAACUUCCCUCCGAACAGCAUACCUGAGUCCAAUUCUCACACAACAAAUUCGGCCCCUGGCAUGUCUGAAGCUGGUUUUGUAACUGACACAAAUGGAGUCCCGCAAAACAACAUGCUUACCAGAAAUCCCAGGGCCCAAGCUUAUGCCGAUCACUUCAGGAUGGCCCUUGAUUGUUUCUUCGCUGUGUGGUUUGUUGUGGGGAAUGUGUGGGUAUUUGGUGGACAUUCCUCUGCCCAUGACGCUCCCAACUUAUACAGGUUGUGUAUAGCCUUCCUCACAUUUAGCUGCAUCGGCUAUGCUAUGCCUUUCAUUCUGUGCGCAUUGAUAUGUUGCUGCCUUCCCUGCAUAAUCUCCCUAAUGAGCUUUCGUGAAGAUCUAAACCAAAACAAAGGUGCUACUGCAGAAGCAAUCAAUGCCUUGAGAACAUACAAGUUGAAAACGAAGAAGUCCCGUAACGGCGAGGGGAUUGAAGUCGGCGGCGGAGUUGUUGCUGCUGGAACAAACAAGGAGCGGUUUGUUUCUGCUGAAGAUGCUAUUUGCUGUAUCUGCCUAGCAAGAUACUCGAACAAUGAUGAUCUCCGAGAGCUUCCUUGCACCCACUUCUUCCACAAAGAAUGCGUAGACAAAUGGCUCAAGAUAAACGCGCUGUGCCCCCUCUGCAAAGCUGAGAUAGACAGUGGCCCGACAAUUGCUCCUGCCAUUGGCUUUGGGCGUUGCCACAGUGACAACAGGGUAGGAAAUGACAUCGAAUCGCAGCUGUAA